AGAGUUUGAUCCUGGCUCAGGAUGAACGCUGGCGGUAUGCCUAACACAUGCAAGUCGAACGAUGUCUUCGGACAUAGUGGCGGACGGGUGAGUAACGCGUGAGAAUCUGCCUCUAGGAUGGGGAUAACGGUUGGAAACGACCGCUAACACCCAAUAUGCCGUAAGGUGAAAAAUUUAUUGCCUGGAGAGGAGCUCGCGUCUGAUUAGCUAGUUGGUGGGGUAAGAGCUCACCAAGGCCUCGAUCAGUAGCUGGUCUGAGAGGAUGAGCAGCCACACUGGGACUGAGACACGGCCCAGACUCCUACGGGAGGCAGCAGUGGGGAAUUUUCCGCAAUGGGCGAAAGCCUGACGGAGCAAUACCGCGUGAGGGAGGAAUGCCUUUGGGUUGUAAACCUCUUUUCUCAGGGAAGAAGAUCUGACGGUACCUGAGGAAUAAGUAUCGGCUAACUCCGUGCCAGCAGCCGCGGUAAUACGGAGGAUGCAAGCGUUAUCCGGAAUCAUCGGGCGUAAAGCGUCCGCAGGUGGUUUCCAAAGUCUGCUGUUAAAGACUGGAGCUCAACUCCGGAACGGCGGUGGAAACUUGGAAACUAGAGUUCGGUAGGGGUAGCAGGAAUUCCCAGUGUAGCGGUGAAAUGCGUAGAUAUUGGGAAGAACAUCGGUGGCGAAGGCGUGCUACUGGACCGUAACUGACACUCAGGGACGAAAGCUAGGGGAGCGAAAGGGAUUAGAUACCCCUGUAGUCCUAGCUGUAAACGAUGGAAACUAGGUGUGGCUUGUAUCGACCCGAGCCGUGCCGUAGCUAACGCGUUAAGUUUCCCGCCUGGGGAGUACGCACGCAAGUGUGAAACUC
RNAcentral lists this ribosomal RNA (850 nucleotides) under uncultured marine microorganism. RNAcentral's name for it is "bacterial SSU rRNA". It matches the Rfam family "Bacterial small subunit ribosomal RNA", at positions 8 to 902 of the family's 1533-position model. The record is from RNAcentral.